CCCCAUCACUGACAGCAAACACAAUGUCACAGUGACACUGAUGCUGUGGCUUCUGUGCCCUGCCAGGAACAUCUGGUGUCCUGGUGUCUGGCAGCAACAGCUGAUGCUGCACAUGCCUUUUGGAAGAGGUCUUCACAGCCCACAAGGCAGCUAUCCCUAGCAUUCUCUCUCCAGCUGCCCUGAAUCAGGGGCUCAGCAGCAGCUCUACAACCAUCUCUGAUAGCACUGCUGCACAAAUGGGAUCUUCCAAGAGGGCAGAACCAACAUCUGGAGGCUAGAAACUGUGUCAGCCAUCCUCAGCUAUCUGGUUCCUAUUCCUGAACUGGGACUUUCAGGUCUUCCUUCUGAGGUGCAGUUUUCAUGCACAUUAGUCACCCUGAGCAGCCUGCACAAAGUUGAUCCUGACCUGCACCGUGCCAUCUUUUGCCAGCAGGCUUCACUGCUAAUCUACCAUGAAGGAUGCUUCAUUUGCCGCCAGCAUGAAGAUGUCACCUAUGCUGUGUGCAGGACUGCCAGUAGCACGGAUGGUCUCUCUGCAGGGGUGGCAUGGAGGAACAGCCCUGCAUCAGAAAGAUGUUUCAAAACACUGUACAAAGAAAAUGAAUGGUGUGCCUGGGGUAGGCUGCUAGGCUCAGAGGAAAGGCUAUGA
This 649-nucleotide long non-coding RNA is filed under the name Cyanistes caeruleus (blue tit). RNAcentral's name for it is "lncRNA (ENSCCEG00000008012.1)". Lineage: Eukaryota; Metazoa; Chordata; Aves; Passeriformes; Paridae. The record is from RNAcentral.